AGCAUCGGCCGGGAAUCGAACCCGGGUUGCCCGCCGCGUGGCAGGCGAGCAUUCUACCACUGAACCACCGAUGC
RNAcentral lists this transfer RNA (74 nucleotides) under Cordylochernes scorpioides. RNAcentral describes it as "tRNA-Gly". The record is from RNAcentral. Lineage: Eukaryota; Metazoa; Arthropoda; Arachnida; Pseudoscorpiones; Chernetidae.